GAUGAAGAACGUAGCGAAGUGCGAUAAGUAAUGUGAAUUGCAGAUUUCAGUGAAUCAUCGAAUCUUUGAACGCACAUUGCGCCCCUUGGUAUUCCGAGGGGCAUGCCUGUUCGAGCGUCAUUACACCACUCAAGCUAUGCUUGGUAUUGGGUGCCGUCCUUAGUUGGGCGCGCCUUAAAGACCUCGGCGAGGCCUCACCGGCUUUAGGCGUAGUAGAAUUUAUUCGAACGUCUGUCAAAGGAGAGGACUUCUGCCGACUGAAACCUUUUAUUUUUCUAGGUUGACCUCGGAUCAGGUAGGGAUACCCGCUGAACUUAAGCAUAUCAAUAAGCGGAGGA
Molecule: unclassified non-coding RNA, 338 nt
Filed under: soil metagenome
Description: partial contains 5.8S ribosomal RNA, internal transcribed spacer 2, and large subunit ribosomal RNA
Rfam family: 5.8S ribosomal RNA (bases 1-120)
Source: RNAcentral